AGGCAGCAGUGGGGAAUAUUGCACAAUGGGCGCAAGCCUGAUGCAGCCAUGCCGCGUGUGUGAAGAAGGCCUUCGGGUUGUAAAGCACUUUCAGUCGUGAGGAAGGUGGUAGUGUUAAUAGCACUAUCAUUUGACGUUAGCGACAGAAGAAGCACCGGCUAACUCCGUGCCAGCAGCCGCGGUAAUACGGAGGGUGCGAGCGUUAAUCGGAAUUACUGGGCGUAAAGCGCAUGCAGGUGGUUUGUUAAGUCAGAUGUGAAAGCCCGGGGCUCAACCUCGGAAUUGCAUUUGAAACUGGCAGACUAGAGUACUGUAGAGGGGGUAGAAUUUCAGGUGUAGCGGUGAAAUGCGUAGAGAUCUGAAGGAAUACCGGUGGCGAAGGCGGCCCCCUGGACAGAUACUGACACUCAGAUGCGAAAGCGUGGGGAGCAAACAGGAUUAGAUACCCUGGUAG
This 454-nucleotide ribosomal RNA is filed under the name uncultured bacterium. RNAcentral's name for it is "bacterial SSU rRNA". It matches the Rfam family "Bacterial small subunit ribosomal RNA", at positions 346 to 793 of the family's 1533-position model. The record is from RNAcentral.